Suricata suricatta (meerkat) is the source of this 1324-nucleotide long non-coding RNA. RefSeq lists it as uncharacterized. The transcript is spliced from 8 exons. NCBI's taxonomy places the organism in Eukaryota, Metazoa, Chordata, Mammalia, Carnivora, Herpestidae. The record is from RefSeq and is a predicted model, not a curated record.
CAAGUCUAUGGGGUAGACCCAGUUACCCCCAAUUUGCAGUCGGGAACGCUGAGGUACGGGAGGCUAAGGACCGUGCCAGGUCCCGUGCAUACUUCGCGAAGAUUCCAGAACCCCCCUGAAUGCACUAAUUAGAAGCCUUGAGAACAAGCAACAGAAACCUACUCUUGAGUACAUGAAGAAAAGAAUCCAUGGAAAGGACCCAGAUUGCUCGCAGAAUCAAAUAAAGAGUCAAACAGCCUGUCUUGGAGGGACCGGCAGCCAGACCCCUCGGGGUCUAUCAGUAGCAGUGACUUACAGAUUGUCUCUCCAGGGUUGGCCAGUAUUCCCCCCUUUUCUGUUUUGAGGUGGCCAUCUGGAUUCUAAUUGUCGUGGCAUUUCUUGCCUUGGGCCAUAUGCCCAUGUCCCUGAUGUCUCCAUGAAUGACAACACACCAAAACCACGUGGCAGGAGGAAGGAACAUUUUCCCCAAGGAGAAGCAGAGCAUUACUACCAGCAUAAGAAGGAAGGCGACCAAGGCAAGCGUGAGCCACCACUGUCCUCUACUCCGAGACUCAGCUGCCUCAUAACACGAUGACUGUUCUGAGGAUCACGUCAACUGUGAGCAGCUCUUCUAACUGGAGGGGACACGCAAAGGCACGAACACCACCAGGCGGGGUUUCAGGGCCACCUUCUAGUCUGUCACAAUCAGGUCAAGAUGACCCACUCAGCAACACCAUGAAAGAGAAAAAGGAUUAAUUUGGAAAAACUGAUAAGCAGACAUCACCUGGAAUGCAGCCCAGAAGCAAAAGAAAUGGGAAAUAUGAAACUGUCUCCUGUGUUCAAGAAGCGAGUCAGUGAGCCCAGCUCCUGCUCAUGGGGAGGGGACACAGAGGCCCUGAGUACUAGCAGACGGGGAGCACUGGGGACCGUCUUGGAGGCUGCCUGCCACGGAGAGGGAAGUCCAGAAGAGCAGCCUCGAGGAGCUGGGGAGGCUCUGUGCUCGGCAGGAGGUGCCAGCAGCCACUCUCGUGGGUCCUCGUACAGGAUCCCCAUGUUGGCCUAUUUAUGUUUUUCACGUGCUCAGAGCACAUGUCAACAAAUACAGUGACUAGGCCACAAACGUCUUUUGAACUGAUUAUGGAUGAAACUGUUGAGAGCAGAGUUUCUGGAAUUCUCCUUCUGGAUUCAGGACCAAGCAACAAAGGGUUUGACUGGUGAAGGGUGUGAACCAGGAGCCCUGGCAGCCUCUCUGUGACUUCUCUGAACUGGAAUCAGAACCUUGUGUUGCUUCCCGUAUUUAAUUGUCAUCCCUGUCAGCUGCAGCAGAAAAGUGUUUAACCAGUAA